This 1446-nucleotide ribosomal RNA is filed under the name 'Citrus macrophylla' witches'-broom phytoplasma. Its description in RNAcentral is "bacterial SSU rRNA". The stretch from base 1 to 1177 matches the Rfam family "Bacterial small subunit ribosomal RNA", at positions 354 to 1533 of the family's 1533-position model. The record is from RNAcentral. Lineage: Bacteria; Bacillati; Mycoplasmatota; Mollicutes; Acholeplasmatales; Acholeplasmataceae.
GUAGGGAAUUUUCGGCAAUGGAGGAAAUUUUGACCGAGCAACGCCGCGUGAACGACGAAGUACUUUGGUAUGUAAAGUUCUUUUAUCAAGGAAGAAAAGCAAGUGGUGAACCAUUUGUUUGCCGGUACUUGAUGAAUAAGCCCCGGCUAAUUAUGUGCCAGCAGCCGCGGUAAGACAUAAGGGGCAAGUGUUAUCCGGAAUUAUUGGGCGUAAAGGGUGCGUAGGCGGUCUAGUAAGUCAGUGGUGUAAUGGCAACGCUCAACGUUGUCCGGCUAUUGAAACUGCUAAACUUGAGUUAGAUAGAGGCGAGUGGAAUUCCAUGUGUAGCGGUAAAAUGCGUAAAUAUAUGGAGGAACACCAGAGGCGUAGGCGGCUCGCUGGGUCUUAACUGACGCUGAGGCACGAAAGCGUGGGGAGCAAACAGGAUUAGAUACCCUGGUAGUCCACGCCGUAAACGAUGAGUACUAAGUGUCGGGUUAAACCGGUACUGAAGUUAACACAUUAAGUACUCCGCCUGAGUAGUACGUACGCAAGUAUGAAACUUAAAGGAAUUGACGGGACUCCGCACAAGCGGUGGAUCAUGUUGUUUAAUUCGAAGAUACCCGAAAAACCUUACCAGGUCUUGACAUGUUUUUGCGAAACGGUAGUAAUAUCGUGGAGGUUAUCAGAAACACAGGUGGUGCAUGGUUGUCGUCAGCUCGUGUCGUGAGAUGUUAGGUUAAGUCCUAAAACGAGCGAAACCCUUAUCGUUAGUUGCCAGCACGUUAUGGUGGGGACUUUAACGAGACUGCCAGUGAUAAAUUGGAGGAAGGUGAGGAUCACGUCAAAUCAGCAUGCCCCUUAUGACCUGGGCUACAAACGUGAUACAAUGGCUGUUACAAAGGGUAGCUGAAACGCAAGUUCUUGGCCAAUCCCCAAAAACAGUCUCAGUCCGGAUUGAAGUCUGCAACUCGACUUCAUGAAGUUGGAAUCGCUAGUAAUCGCGAAUCAGCAUGUCGCGGUGAAUACGUUCUCGGGGUUUGUACACACCGCCCGUCAAACCACGAAAGUUGGCAAUACCCCAAAACGGUAGCCUAACUCGUUUAUCGAGAGGGCGCUGUCUAAGGUAGGGUCGAUGAUUGGGGUUAAGUCGUAACAAGGUAUCCCUACCGGAAGGUGGGGAUGGAUCACCUCCUUUCUAAGGAAACCAAUAAAAUCAAUCAUCUUCAGUUUUGAAAGACUUAGGAUAACUAAGUUUUUCUUCGUGACUUCACGAAGGGCCUAUAGCUCAGUUGGUUAGAGCACACGCCUGAUAAGCGUGAGGUCGGUGGUUCAAGUCCAUUUAGGCCCACCAGAGUUAUAGGUGUCGUAAGAACACAAAUUCUUUGAAAAUUAGGUAAAUAAUAGUUAUUUUUCCGGAACAUUAAAGGAAAUAAGAGCGCACAGUGGAUGCCUAGGCACCAAGAG